Molecule: ribosomal RNA, 253 nt
Filed under: uncultured bacterium
Lineage: Bacteria
Description: partial 16S ribosomal RNA
Rfam family: Bacterial small subunit ribosomal RNA
Source: RNAcentral
UACGUAGGGGGCAAGCGUUGUCCGGAUUUAUUGGGCGUAAAGAGCGUGUAGGCGGCCAAACAGGUCAGCUGUGAAAACUCGAGGCUCAACCUCGAGACGUCGGUUGAAACCGUAUGGCUAGAGUCCGGAAGAGGAGACUGGAAUUCCUGGUGUAGCGGUGAAAUGCGCAGAUAUCAGGAGGAACACCGAUGGCGAAGGCGGCAUCCUGGACCGACAUUGACGCUGAACGGCGAAAGCUAGGGGAGCAAACGGG